GUGUUCGCUUUGGCAACACAUAUACUAAAAUUGGAAUGAUACAGAGAAAGAAGAUUAGCAUGGCCCCUGCGCAAGGAUGAUACACAAAUUCGUGAAGCGUUCCAUAUUUUU
Small nuclear RNA from Dipodomys ordii (Ord's kangaroo rat), 111 nucleotides. NCBI's taxonomy places the organism in Eukaryota, Metazoa, Chordata, Mammalia, Rodentia, Heteromyidae. The record is from Ensembl.